ACUCCUACGGGAGGCAGCAGUGGGGAAUAUUGCACAAUGGGCGCAAGCCUGAUGCAGCCAUGCCGCGUGUGUGAAGAAGGCCUUCGGUUGUAAAGCACUUUCAGUUGUGAGGAAGGUGGUGUCGUUAAUAGCGGCAUCAUUUGACGUUAGCAACAGAAGAAGCACCGGCUAACUCCGUGCCAGCAGCCGCGGUAAUACGGAGGGGUGCGAGCGUUAAUCGGAAUUACUGGGCGUAAAGCGCAUGCAGGUGGUUUGUUAAGUCAGAUGUGAAAGCCCGGGGCUCAACCUCGGAACUGCAUUUGAAACUGGCAGACUAGAGUACUGUAGAGGGGGUAGAAUUUCAGGUGUAGCGGUGAAAUGCGUAGAGAUCUGAAGGAAUACCGGUGGCGAAGGCGGCCCCCUGGACAGAUACUGACACUCAGAUGCGAAAGCGUGGGGAGCAAACAGGAUUAGAU
RNAcentral lists this ribosomal RNA (455 nucleotides) under uncultured bacterium. Its description in RNAcentral is "bacterial SSU rRNA". It matches the Rfam family "Bacterial small subunit ribosomal RNA", at positions 335 to 783 of the family's 1533-position model. The record is from RNAcentral.